RNAcentral lists this ribosomal RNA (240 nucleotides) under uncultured Parachlamydiaceae bacterium. RNAcentral describes it as "partial 16S ribosomal RNA". It matches the Rfam family "Bacterial small subunit ribosomal RNA", at positions 66 to 303 of the family's 1533-position model. Lineage: Bacteria; Pseudomonadati; Chlamydiota; Chlamydiia; Parachlamydiales; Parachlamydiaceae. The record is from RNAcentral.
ACGAAGUCGCAAGACUUAGUGGCGGAAGGGUUAGUAAUACAUGGGUAACCUGCCGUCUACCUCGGAAUAACAGUUGGAAACGACUGCUAAUACCGGAUGAGGUGGUCAUAAGGAAACUUAAGACCAUCAAAGUGGGGGAUCUUCGGACCUUGCGGUAGAUGAGGGGCCCAUGGGAUAUCAGCUAGUUGGUGAGGUAAUGGCUCACCAAGGCUAAGACGUCUAGGCGGAUUGAGAGAUUGA